RNAcentral lists this ribosomal RNA (468 nucleotides) under uncultured bacterium. RNAcentral describes it as "partial 16S ribosomal RNA". It matches the Rfam family "Bacterial small subunit ribosomal RNA", at positions 28 to 507 of the family's 1533-position model. The record is from RNAcentral.
GACGAACGCUGGCGGCGUGCUUAACACAUGCAAGUCGAACGGAAAGGCCCUGCUUUUGUGGGGUGCUCGAGUGGCGAACGGGUGAGUAACACGUGAGUAACCUGCCCUUGACUUUGGGAUAACUUCAGGAAACUGGGGCUAAUACCGGAUAGGAGCUCCUGCUGCAUGGUGGGGGUUGGAAAGUUUCGGCGGUUGGGGAUGGACUCGCGGCUUAUCAGCUUGUUUGUGGGGUAGUGGCUUACCAAGGCUUUGACGGAUAGCCGGCCUGAGAGGGUGACCGGCCACAUUGGGCCUGAGAUACGGACCAGACUCCUACGGGCGGCAGCAGUGGGGAAUAUUGCACAAUGGGCGGAAGCCUGAUGCAGCAACGCCGGGUGCGGGAUGACGGCCUUCGGGUUGUAAACCGCUUUCGACUGUGACGAAGCGUGAGUGACGGUAAUGGGUAAAGAAGCACCGGCUAACUACGUG